GUUUGCGACGGGAAGCGCUUCUCUAGGCAGCUCGGUGAAGGGCUCUACUGUCCGUCCCCGGGUGUCCCGGGGUGUCUCCUCUCUGUCUCGGAAAGGGGAACAGACUUCUGUCUUCAUUGAACACGCAGGGACACUGAAGUCACACAGUACUGGAUCACCCUGUUCCAUGUCAUGGGGAACCCUACAGCGAUCUACUCUGCCUCCAGAACAAAUGCCAUGCCCCAACACCUGAAAGGAUCAGCCUAGUCCUUGGGGAUAAAAGGCAAGAUCAUCUCCUUCUUAGAAGGAUUUCAGACCUUGGAGACUGGAAUCAAGGACAUGGUUCACAACUACACGCACCCUUCUAGAAUGCAGUGGCUUCGGUUUCUGACCAGGGACACAGAAUACCAUUGGAAUUUGAGAGGUUCCACAGCCGUUGUGCCAUGGGCAGCCUCUGGAGACUGUGGUUCAGCUCAUCUGUCUUGUCCCUGCUGGAGCUGCUACUGGAUGUCAUUGCCCUUGCCUGGCUGCUACUGGGUUUUUGCUGGCUCGGCUGGGGAGAAGCUGUCCUAGCUGGGAGUCAAUACUGCUUCAGGGCAGUCCCACACCAUAUCAGAGGCCAGCCAGAGACCUCCACCCCAAGCUUCAGGGGAUGAUGCCAGACGCCCAGAAGGAGAUAACCCCACAGAGAUGCUCUCAGGGUCUUUGGGGGAAGUUUCAGUGUAAGAAUUCGGCUAAAUUCCAGGCCCUUGAGUUUUUGUUUGUUUUUCGAGAGACGGUUUCUCUGUAGCCCUGGCUGUCCUGAUACUUGUUCCUCUGUAUAGACCAAGCUGGCCUCGAACCCUAGAUCCACCUGCCUCUGCCUCCCAAGUGCUAGGAUUAAAGGAAUGUGCCACCGCUGCCUAACUAUUUGAUUUUUGAGACAGAGUUUCUCUGUGUAG
Molecule: long non-coding RNA, 920 nt
Organism: Chionomys nivalis (European snow vole)
Lineage: Eukaryota; Metazoa; Chordata; Mammalia; Rodentia; Cricetidae
Exons: 4
Source: RefSeq, a predicted model, not a curated record